UUGUUAAUUCGCUAUCAAGAAACUCUAAAAAAAUCUUCGAUUGCCUAAAAACUAUCAAAGAUUUGCACCAAAAAUUUCCUUACCUGGUUAAGGCUUUACCUCUACGUCUGGGGAGAGUAUGUUGCUCUCAAUCCAGUAGUGAAUCCAGGUUACGAUCAAUCAGUUUAAAAAGCUAAUACACAAUCGAUAUCGUAACAAUUAAGACUUGAUCUAACUUGUGUAUCUUUGUUAUGCAGCUUCUACAAGUACCUCAAUCACAAAGCAAUGUUGAGAACCUUUCAGACAGAUCGCAAGCGUCUUCGCGAGUCUUGGAAGCAAACUUAUAUGGAGAAGAAGACGAACACCAAGGAACAAAGUCAAAGUGCAAUUUGUGGCUGGAACUAUGUGUUCGAUUGUAUGUGGACAAUCUAUGAGCAUAAACUAAAGAACACACUGUUAACGGUGUUUGUUUACUACAUCUACAGGACCACGUUCAGAAUUCAUUAACUAGAAAACACCG
Molecule: long non-coding RNA, 499 nt
Filed under: Brassica napus (rape)
Lineage: Eukaryota; Viridiplantae; Streptophyta; Magnoliopsida; Brassicales; Brassicaceae
Description: long non-coding RNA (BNAP_LNC006620)
Source: RNAcentral